AUAUAAAUAAAAUUAUUAUUAUUAUUAUUAUUAUUAUUAUUAUUAUUAAAAAGAGUGCUUUGGGGGCUUGAGGAAUAGCUUGCUGAGGAGGAAAAUAACAGCUUUGGAAUUGCUAAGAGCCCAGCAGGAUCUGAACAAAAACCCAUCUAGCCCAGCAUCCUGGUUUCUAAAGUGACCCACAAGAUGCUCCUCAGAAGCUUGCAAGCAUGUCAUAAAGUCAGGUUUUUUCCUGCUUUUCAGCAACAGGUAUUCAGUGACACAGGACACGGAGAUCUGCCUAUCAAGGCUUUUUGCCAUUUAUAUGCCUAUUAACCAUGAACAUCAUUGCUUUUAGAGCCAACCCAGGUAAUGGCAGCUAAUUCAGAAAAUUAAUUAUGUGUCAUGUGAAGAAGUACUUACCUAGUUUUCUCUGCUCUGAAAUCUACCAUCCAGUUUCACUGGCUGAUUUAUCAUUAGGUGUAUAGAUUUGGGAUUGUCUCACCAAGAAAUAUAUUACUGCUGUGACCUGGCAUAGGAAAGAGUGGUAUAUGCAACAGCAAUGUCCUCAAAUUUCAUCCCAAUAUUGGAAGGUCUAGCAUUGUUAGGCAGUUUGGAAAGGUGAAUGAAAUUACUUUAUUUAGGAAAUUGACCUCUGUGUUCUGCAGAUCAGUUGCUCUCAUAAUUAAAUAACACACAAUUCGGUGCUACUUAUGCUGUGGAGGGUAAGAAGGUCGAUAAUGUGCACUGGGGCUGGCUUAAGAGAGGUUCUUUUGCUCAUUCUGCAUCACAAACCUUUUGUUCAAGUCAUACUUUGCAAGAUAGAACAGGGAAGUGUUACACAGUGGUUCCUGUGAGCUUUUUGAGUACAGUAGUAGAUUCCUUGAGACUCUAGGAUUUACUGAAGUCAGGAGUUAAUUAUCCAGUAGGUGGCAGUGACAGAGUCUGUGCUGGCUCUGCUACACCAUUAAAUAGAUAUUAGAUGUAUCUUGGUGCAGGGAAGAGUCAAUGCAGGGGAAAUGAUUUCAUCUGCAAUGCUCAUCUAUAAGGGCAACAUGAAUAGACUGAAGAAGUUGCAUUUCUCUUCAGCUUGGUUUUUGGGGAACAAGAUUAUAUCCUUGGUACACUUUCUGUUGUUGAACUCUGACUGGCUGGGGUGGGGGGAACAUGUAAAAGGUAAAGGUACCCCUGACCGUUAGGUCCAGUUGCAGACGACUCUGGAGUUGCGGCGCUCACCUUGCUCUAUGGGCCAAGGGAGCUGGCGUUUGUCUGCAGACAGCUUCCGGGUCACGUGGCCAGCAUGACUAAGCCGCUUCUGGCGAACCAGAGCAGCGCAUGGAAACGCCGUUUACCUUCCCUCCGGAGCAGUACCUAUUUAUCUACUUGCACUUGACGUGCUUUCAAACUGCUAGGUGGGCAGGAGCUGGGACAGAACAACAGGAGCUCACCCCGUCACGGGGAUUCGAACUGCCGACCUUCCGAUUGGCAAGCCCUAGGCUCUGGUUUAGACCACAGCGCCACCCGUGUCCCUUUUGGGGGGAACAUGUAGUAGGGGCUAAAUGAAAUCACCUAAAGUUACAACAACAAUAAGUUUGGCACAAGGAACACUAAGAGCAAAAUGUCUGUUGUGAUUUCAGUUUUCUCUAUCCCUUUCUUUGCAAAAGCCCUAAACAAAUAGUUGACUUAGGAGUAAUAGCUGAAUCCUGAUGGACCCAUGCUUGGGUUUUGUGCUACACGAAUCUAUGACAGGUACAAUGCAGUUCACCUACAUACAAGGUGGUUUGUUUGCAGCAUUUGAUUAAAAAACCGUCAGAACCAAUUUAGAGUAAAUCUAACAAACACUUCACAUGAUGCCUGCCAAAGUGCCCAAUUCUAUGCAACAGACAAUUUUGUAGUAACUAUUUUGUUAAUGGCUUGGCACUAAAAUUAUUUAGCUUGAAGGAAAAGGGGUUGUCAGGGACACUUGAAGCACAGAAUUUUUUAGGUCCUCAUGAAAAACCACCAUCAUUUUAGGGUGAAUUUAUUCUAAUACACACAUGUCUGUGUGCAAUCUCCCUUAAUAUAUGCACUUUUAUUCUAUCUGUAUUUUUCUGCACACUUUAUCCAGUAUAUGCUUUACUCAGCUGGAGCACUGCACUGCGAAAUUCAGAUAAGUGUGAAUUUCAAAGGAUAGCUGCGUUUUGGUUCUCAUGUGGAUUUGGUAGAUCCACUUUAAAUGCGAACUGAUUCAGAUUUCUCCAUCAUACCUAGGUGGAGGUGCAUCCAGCCCAGAACAGUACUGCCAGCCUCUGCCUGUAAAGUCCUGCUAAUGCCACACCACUAGCAUGGGGUCCAUAUUUUGCCUGUGUGGGCCAGCAGAAGUGCAGUUGAUGGACUGUCCCAAACUGAGCUAGUCCCACCCUUGUCAUCUGAUGACAUCAGGCCCAACUGCUAAGUCAGCUCUAGGCUGGUAUAACUGCAGGCUGUUGCCUGCCCACCCCAGCUGGUUCCACCCCAGCUGGUGAAUGCAGUGGUGGCUUAGCCCCUGAAUGCACCCUACUGUUGCUUAAUCGGGAUUUGUAUUUGUCUGCCAAUCAGGAAGCACAGAAUAAAGCAUUACAACUGUCUAUGUCACCUUGCCUUUCUAUCUUAUAUAAUUUUCUGAGCAUGUCUCUUCAGGUGGUU
Molecule: non-coding RNA, 2640 nt
Organism: Podarcis lilfordi (Lilford's wall lizard)
Lineage: Eukaryota; Metazoa; Chordata; Lepidosauria; Squamata; Lacertidae
Source: the annotation of a GenBank genome assembly